CGAAAAGCGUGGAAAGACAUCAGUAGAAGGAAAGCCAUGUGUUUCAGAGAGCCGGUGGGUGGUGCGAACCGGCAGCAGGCCCCUUUGAAUUACAGUCUGGAGCUGUCCGGAGGAACUACAAGCGCAUUUCGCUUGUUCAGUAGUCCUGGACCGGGUGCAAGCCCGUUAUGGCAAUGAAGUGAAAGAGAAUGCCUGUGCUCCGGCACGGCAAAUCUUUAAUUAGGGUGGUACCGCGAGCCUCUUACUCGUCCCUUGG
Molecule: non-coding RNA, 256 nt
Filed under: Paenibacillus sp.
Lineage: Bacteria; Bacillati; Bacillota; Bacilli; Caryophanales; Paenibacillaceae
Description: T-box sequence
Rfam family: T-box leader
About the family: Uncharged tRNA acts as the effector for transcription antitermination of genes in the T-box leader family. T-boxes are found upstream of many aminoacyl-tRNA synthetase genes and some amino acid biosynthetic genes usually in Gram-positive bacteria. The anticodon of a specific tRNA base pairs to a specifier sequence within the T-box motif, and the NCCA acceptor tail of the tRNA base pairs to a conserved bulge in the T-box antiterminator hairpin.
Source: RNAcentral